Long non-coding RNA from Neopelma chrysocephalum (saffron-crested tyrant-manakin), 169 nucleotides. RefSeq lists it as uncharacterized. The transcript has 3 exons. The record is from RefSeq and is a predicted model, not a curated record. NCBI's taxonomy places the organism in Eukaryota, Metazoa, Chordata, Aves, Passeriformes, Pipridae.
UUAAACCUUUGCUCUCCUUCCCCAGCCACUCGGGGGAAUAGGAGGAGGUGGAUGUAUUGGGGGAAGCAUAAAUUCCAAGCGAGUGAAGAGGUCUGAGCCCCCCAUAGUUGACCUGGUGGAACUGCUGCGCGAAUGACGCUCGGCUGCCUCUCUGCAUGUCCAGGUGAGA